Molecule: ribosomal RNA, 489 nt
Filed under: uncultured bacterium
Lineage: Bacteria
Description: partial 16S ribosomal RNA
Rfam family: Bacterial small subunit ribosomal RNA
Source: RNAcentral
AUUGAACGCUGGCGGCAGGCCUAACACAUGCAAGUCGAACGGUAACAGGAAGAAGCUUGCUUCUUUGCUGACGAGUGGCGGACGGGUGAGGAAUGUCUGGGAAACUGCCUGAUGGAGGGGGAUAACUACUGGAAACGGUAGCUAAUACCGCAUAACGUCGCAAGACCAAAGAGGGGGACCUUCGGGCCUCUUGCCAUCGGAUGUGCCCAGAUGGGAUUAGCUAGUAGGUGGGGUAACGGCUCACCUAGGCGACGAUCCCUAGCUGGUCUGAGAGGAUGACCAGCCACACUGGAACUGAGACACGGUCCAGACUCCUACGGGAGGCAGCAGUGGGGAAUAUUGCACAAUGGGCGCAAGCCUGAUGCAGCCAUGCCGCGUGUAUGAAGAAGGCCUUCGGGUUGUAAAGUACUUUCAGCGGGGAGGAAGGGAGUAAAGUUAAUACCUUUACUCAUUGACGUUACCCGCAGAAGAAGCACCGGCUAACUCCGU